RNAcentral lists this ribosomal RNA (716 nucleotides) under Bacillus thuringiensis. RNAcentral describes it as "bacterial SSU rRNA". It matches the Rfam family "Bacterial small subunit ribosomal RNA", at positions 61 to 757 of the family's 1533-position model. RNAcentral also lists the same sequence under 1 other name. Lineage: Bacteria; Bacillati; Bacillota; Bacilli; Caryophanales; Bacillaceae. The record is from RNAcentral.
GUCGAGCGAAUGGAUUGAGAGCUUGCUCUCAAGAAGUUAGCGGCGGACGGGUGAGUAACACGUGGGUAACCUGCCCAUAAGACUGGGAUAACUCCGGGAAACCGGGGCUAAUACCGGAUAAUAUUUUGAACUGCAUGGUUCGAAAUUGAAAGGCGGCUUCGGCUGUCACUUAUGGAUGGACCCGCGUCGCAUUAGCUAGUUGGUGAGGUAACGGCUCACCAAGGCAACGAUGCGUAGCCGACCUGAGAGGGUGAUCGGCCACACUGGGACUGAGACACGGCCCAGACUCCUACGGGAGGCAGCAGUAGGGAAUCUUCCGCAAUGGACGAAAGUCUGACGGAGCAACGCCGCGUGAGUGAUGAAGGCUUUCGGGUCGUAAAACUCUGUUGUUAGGGAAGAACAAGUGCUAGUUGAAUAAGCUGGCACCUUGACGGUACCUAACCAGAAAGCCACGGCUAACUACGUGCCAGCAGCCGCGGUAAUACGUAGGUGGCAAGCGUUAUCCGGAAUUAUUGGGCGUAAAGCGCGCGCAGGUGGUUUCUUAAGUCUGAUGUGAAAGCCCACGGCUCAACCGUGGAGGGUCAUUGGAAACUGGGAGACUUGAGUGCAGAAGAGGAAAGUGGAAUUCCAUGUGUAGCGGUGAAAUGCGUAGAGAUAUGGAGGAACACCAGUGGCGAAGGCGACUUUCUGGUCUGUAACUGACACUGAGGCGCGAA